RNAcentral lists this ribosomal RNA (259 nucleotides) under uncultured bacterium. RNAcentral's name for it is "partial 16S ribosomal RNA". It matches the Rfam family "Bacterial small subunit ribosomal RNA", at positions 73 to 334 of the family's 1533-position model. The record is from RNAcentral.
UCUUGCAAACUAAAGAUGGCGACCGGCGCACGGGUGAGUAACACGUAUCCAACCUGCCGAUAACUCGGGGAUAGCCUUUCGAAAGAAAGAUUAAUAUCCGAUAGUAUAUUAAAACCGCAUGGUUUUACUAUUAAAGAAUUUCGGUUAUCGAUGGGGAUGCGUUCCAUUAGUUUGUUGGCGGGGUAACGGCCCACCAAGACUACGAUGGAUAGGGGUUCUGAGAGGAAGGCCCCCACAUUGGAACUGAGACACGGUCCAA